Molecule: non-coding RNA, 70 nt
Organism: Macrostomum lignano
Lineage: Eukaryota; Metazoa; Platyhelminthes; Macrostomidae
Source: Rfam
GGGGUUAUAGCCCAGAGGUUAGAGUGUCAGAUUCAUGACUUGAAGGUCCGUGGUUCGACUCCCGAUCCCA